This 508-nucleotide ribosomal RNA is filed under the name uncultured bacterium. RNAcentral describes it as "partial 16S ribosomal RNA". It matches the Rfam family "Bacterial small subunit ribosomal RNA", at positions 28 to 523 of the family's 1533-position model. The record is from RNAcentral.
GAUGAACGCUAGCUACAGGCUUAACACAUGCAAGUCGAGGGGAAACGAUAGAGAAAGCUUGCUUUUUCUAGGCGUCGACCGGCGCACGGGUGAGUAACGCGUAUCCAACCUGCCCAUCACUUGGGGAUAACCUUGCGAAAGUAAGACUAAUACCCAAUGACGUCUCUAGAAGACAUCUGAAAGAGAUUAAAGAUUUAUCGGUGAUGGCUGGGGAUGCGUCUGAUUAGCUUGUUGGCGGGGUAACGGCCCACCAAGGCGACGAUCAGUAGGGGUUCUGAGAGGAAGGUCCCCCACAUUGGAACUGAGACACGGUCCAAACUCCUACGGGAGGCAGCAGUGAGGAAUAUUGGUCAAUGGGCGAGAGCCAGAACCAGCCAAGUAGCGUGCAGGAUGACGGCCCUAUGGGUUGUAAACUGCUUUUAUAAGGGAAUAAAGUGAGUCUCGUGAGACUUUUUGCAUGUACCUUAUGAAUAAGGACCGGCUAAUUCCGUGCCAGCCGCCGCAGUAA